UGCUCAUCCUUUCUUUAUCUUAAUGGGAAAUCAUUCUGCUUGAUGCAAAGCAAAAGCAAAACAUUAUAUGAAAUUUAUCUUAAAUAUUUCUCUGUGGAAGGAAGAUGUCAUCUCUCUCUCCAAAUGAUAAAUUGAGAAAAAGAGUUUCUGAAUGGAAAACCAGAAAAAGUCCCUCUCUCCAAACACUUACCAGCUUCCCAUUUAUUCAUAAAGUAGAGGAUUCAGCAGACCAGAACCAGGAACAUUUCUUCUUCUUGCCUCUCUCUGAAGUUUCAGCUUCUACUAGCAAUAGGAAGCGAGUAGGGAUAUUAUUUUAUCCUCCAUGUAGCUGACCUAUUUCUGGGGAAGAGGCUGUGAUAGGUGAGAGACAUUCUCAUCUCCUGGUGGCCUCAGCAGUCUACUUCAGCAGCACACAGCAGCAUACAGCAAGUCACAAAGCAGGUAUUUACAAUGCAGUUUGCAUCCCUUUGUUAAUCACACUUUUCCUUCCUCUCAUCUCAU
RNAcentral lists this long non-coding RNA (501 nucleotides) under Cyanistes caeruleus (blue tit). RNAcentral describes it as "lncRNA (ENSCCEG00000008660.1)". The record is from RNAcentral. Lineage: Eukaryota; Metazoa; Chordata; Aves; Passeriformes; Paridae.